AAGGGAAUUGAAACAUCUAAGUACCUUUUGAAAAAGAAAUCAACCGAGAGACCGUAAAUAGUGGCGAGCGAAAGCGGUUUAGGCUUAAAACAUGACCGUCUUUUUUUGAAUACCAAUGCCGUAGAGGGUAAUAGCCCCGUAAAAAAAAGAAAUCAAUGUUUUUUUAGUAUUACAUUAUCAAGCAAUCUUGUGUGAAAAAUGGGGUACCAUCCUCAAAGCCUAAAAAAUAUUUAACAACCGAUAGUGAACAAGUACCGUGAGGGAAAGGUGAAAAAGGAGGAUACUCCCAGUGAAAAGAACCUGAAACUUAAUGCUAUAAUCUGUUGGAGCUUUUAUAGUGACAGCGUGCCUUUUGCAUAAUGAGUCAGCGACUUUGUAUGGAUGGCGAGCUUAAACCGUUAGGUGUAGGCGUAGUGAAAUCGAAAAAUAAAAAACCAGUCAUCUGUGCAAAACCCGAAACUGAGUGAUCUAACCAUGAACAGGCUGAAGUUUUGAUGGCAACAUCUUUCUAAGGGCCGAACCCGUGUAUGUGGCAAAAUACUGGGAUGAUUUGUGGUUAGGGGUGAAAGGCCAAUCAAACUCAGAGAUAGCUGGUUUUCUGCGAAAUCUAUUUAAGUAGAGUGUUUAUUGUGAUACCUGAGGUAGAGCUCUCUUUUAGUGCGGGGUUGUCUAUCUUCUACCAAACUUUUGGAAACUUCGAAUUCGGGAUUAUUAAAUUUAAACAAACAGACUAGAGGUGCUAAGAUCUUUAGUCGAGAGGGAAACAGCCCAGAUUGACCGUUAAGGACCUUAAAAAUACAGAAGUUAAAGGAAGUUAAAAACUUUUAACAGCCAGGAGGUAGGCUUAGAAGCAGCCACCCUAUGAUGAAAGCGUAGCAGCUCACUGGUCUAGGUUUUUUGCACCGAAAAUUUAAUGGGAUUAAAAGUAUUUUCCGAAGCGGCAAAAUCCAAUUUUUGGAUUGGUAGCAGAAUGUUCUGUAAAUUUUUAAAGCUAAGCUGUCAGGUUUAGUGGAGAUAUCAGAAGUAAGAAUGCUGACAUAAGUAACGAUAAAGAGUGUUUAAAACACUCUCGCUGUAAACCCAAGGUUUUCGAUGUCAAGUUAAGCUGCGUCGAAGAGAAAUUCAAAAAUAAAAACGGCCCCUAAGAAUAUAGUGAAAACUCAUUUUGAUGGGAAACAAUAUACUGUUUUGAAAGUUGUGACAAAAGGCUUGAAUUUUGUGUUAAAAAGAUCAUUUUGAUGCAAAUUAAUCUUUUCAAGAAAUAGCACUUUCUUUAUUACCGUACCGUAAACUGACACAAGUGGGUGGGUUGAGAAAACUAAAGCGCUUGAGAGAACUGUGUAAAAGGAACUCGGCAAAAUGGCUCCGUAACUUAGGAAGAAGGAGUGACUUUUAAUUCAAUAUUUGCAAUAUGCAAUAAAUGUUCUAAAAGUUGUCACAAAAUUGGAAGAAGCAACUGUUUAACAAAAACACAGGUCUCUGCUAAUUCGCAAGAAGAUGUAUAGGGGCUGACGCGUGCCCGGUGCUGCAAGGUUAAGGGGAGGCGUCUUGGCGCUGAACUCAAGCCCCAGUAAACGGCGGCCGUAACUCUGACGGUCCAAAGGUAGCGAAAUUCUUUGCCACCUAAUUAGUGGCCUGCAUGAAUCGCGUAAUGACUUCUUUACUGUCUCUUACACAGACUCAGUGAAAUUGAAAUAUCCGUGAAGAUGCGGAUUACUCACAGCUAGACGGAAAGACCCUGUA
This 1743-nucleotide ribosomal RNA is filed under the name metagenome. RNAcentral's name for it is "bacterial LSU rRNA". It matches the Rfam family "Bacterial large subunit ribosomal RNA", at positions 186 to 2095 of the family's 2925-position model. The record is from RNAcentral.